ACCAUGACUUUCGCCAAUGGAUAUUUCGGCUCUCGCAUCGAUGAAGAGAGCAGCGAAAUGCGAUCCAUGGUGCGAAUUGCAGAAUCCCGUGACCCAUGGAGUCU
Molecule: ribosomal RNA, 104 nt
Filed under: Sobralia sp. Esp8089
Lineage: Eukaryota; Viridiplantae; Streptophyta; Magnoliopsida; Asparagales; Orchidaceae
Description: 5.8S ribosomal RNA
Rfam family: 5.8S ribosomal RNA
About the family: 5.8S ribosomal RNA (5.8S rRNA) is a component of the large subunit of the eukaryotic ribosome.
Source: RNAcentral